AGCAGUGAGGAAUAUUGGUCAAUAGCCUAAGUGGCUGAACCAGCAACUUGGAUGAAUGGAUAGGGAAAGCCGGUAAAAGGCAAUGUACCUAAUAGUAUUAGAAAUGAAUAUGAAAUUAACAAAGUUAAUUAAAGUUCUAAGUAGGUAAGUGAUUAUGACAAUAUCUGCUGAUGUCUUGACCAAGUCACGUGCCAGCAGUCGCGGUAAUACGUGGAAGACGAGUGUUAUUCAUCUUUAAUAGGUUUAAAGGGUACCUAGACAGUUAAUUAAGCAAGAAAUUGUACUAAUUUAACUAGAGUUUAAUAUAGGAAGGGUCAGUACGAUACGGAGUAGAGAUAAAAUUCUUUGAUCCUUAUGGGGACUGGUUUAGGCGAAGGCAACCUUUUAUGUAAAAACUGACGUUGAGGGACGAAGGCUCAAGGAGAAAAAAGAGGAUUAGAUACCCUUGUAUAGUGGGCAGACAAUGAUGAGUGCCAUACGUAAGAUAUUUUUUUGUGUAUAAAUGAAAGUGUAAGCACUCCACCUCAAGAGUAACGUGGCAACAUGGGAACUGAAAUCAUUAGGCCGUUUCUGAAACCCGUAGUGAAGUAUGUUGUUUAAUUUGUAGGUACGCAAAUAACCUUACCACAAUUUGAAUAGCUUGUGAUUUUACUCUUCGUUUUAUUAAUAAAAACGAGUAUGCUAUAUUUAUACAUUAAGUUAUAUAUAAUAUAGUAGAACUUGCAAGCUACAAGCGUUGCACGGCUGUUUUUAGUCAAUGUUGUGAAACUUUGGUUAGGUCCAUUAAAUUGAUGUAAGCCCUUGCUUUAUUUAUUAAAAAGUAGUACGCUGCUCCAUGGGUAGCGAUAUAAGGGACUAAGACAAGUCAUCAUGACCUGAACAUUGUGGGCUAUAGACGUGCCACAU
RNAcentral lists this ribosomal RNA (906 nucleotides) under Graphis lineola. RNAcentral's name for it is "SSU rRNA". It matches the Rfam family "Bacterial small subunit ribosomal RNA", at positions 350 to 1230 of the family's 1533-position model. Lineage: Eukaryota; Fungi; Ascomycota; Lecanoromycetes; Ostropales; Graphidaceae. The record is from RNAcentral.